RNAcentral lists this long non-coding RNA (648 nucleotides) under Coturnix japonica (Japanese quail). RNAcentral describes it as "lncRNA (ENSCJPG00005010880.1)". The record is from RNAcentral. Lineage: Eukaryota; Metazoa; Chordata; Aves; Galliformes; Phasianidae.
GGUUGUUUUUGUUGUUGUUGUUGUUUUUGUUUGUGUAUUUGUUUGUUUUGUAUAUGAUGAUAAAAACAAAACCACAAGAUAACUGAUAAGAGGGAAGAUGAAAAGGAAAAUGGCUGAACAGAAGAGUUGUUCUGGUGUGUGGUUGUGGCUGGGAGAGGCUGAAUGCAUGCAGCCAAAGGAAAGGUAUGCGGUACUGUCCUGAUGUCUUCAGAGAGAAGUGAAAAUGUUUGAUGCAGGAGUAGAUGUUGAAUGUACCCCAUCCAUGAGCUAGCUAAAGAAGAAUGACUGUAGGCAUGAUUACAUUCUGUGGAAUACUAUCAAGGGGCAGCAUACCCCUGGCUGAGACUGUACAUUUGCUUCCUGUGGACCACCAAAAGGAAACUGGAUGGCACUAGUUUUUCCACAGCUUGAAGGAAACAUAGUUGAACUCAUGACUUAACAAUGAAAGAGUUUACAAUUCCAUAUCUAUGUCUGGAUCAUGCAGCCUCUUCACAAUGCAAUUUUUGAUUUAUUGAUUCAGGUUAAAAAUACAUGCUGAAAUACUGGCUUUCUGCUUUGCUUUACACCUUGUUUUGUUUUGUUUUUGUUUUUAAGGAAAUUGUUCUUUAACAUUCACUUUGAGUACCUGUGCGGGGGUGUAGGUUUGAG